GUGGGUAGUUUGACUGGGGCGGUCUCCUCCUAAAGAGUAACGGAGGAGCACGAAGGUUGGCUAAUCCUGGUCGGACAUCAGGAGGUUAGUGCAAUGGCAUAAGCCAGCUUGACUGCGAGCGUGACGGCGCGAGCAGGUGCGAAAGCAGGUCAUAGUGAUCCGGUGGUUCUGAAUGGAAGGGCCAUCGCUCAACGGAUAAAAGGUACUCCGGGGAUAACAGGCUGAUACCGCCCAAGAGUUCAUAUCGACGGCGGUGUUUGGCACCUCGAUGUCGGCUCAUCACAUCCUGGGGCUGAAGUAGGUCCCAAGGGUAUGGCUGUUCGCCAUUUAAAGUGGUACGCGAGCUGGGUUUAGAACGUCGUGAGACAGUUCGGUCCCUAUCUGCCGUGGGCGCUGGAGAACUGAGGGGGGCUGCUCCUAGUACGAGAGGACCGGAGUGGACGCAUCACUGGUGUUCGGGUUGUCAUGCCAAUGGCACUGCCCGGUAGCUAAAUGCGGAAGAGAUAAGUGCUGAAAGCAUCUAAGCACGAAACUUGCCCCGAGAUGAGUUCUCCCUGAGACUUAAAGUCUCCUGAAGGAACGUUGAAGACGACGACGUUGAUAGGCCGGGUGUGUAAGCGCAGCGAUGCGUUGAGCU
RNAcentral lists this ribosomal RNA (637 nucleotides) under Salmonella enterica subsp. enterica serovar Heidelberg. Its description in RNAcentral is "partial 23S ribosomal RNA". It matches the Rfam family "Bacterial large subunit ribosomal RNA", at positions 2261 to 2892 of the family's 2925-position model. Lineage: Bacteria; Pseudomonadati; Pseudomonadota; Gammaproteobacteria; Enterobacterales; Enterobacteriaceae. RNAcentral also lists the same sequence under 1 other name. The record is from RNAcentral.